AUCGCUUCUCUGUCUUUUGGCUAAGAUUAAGUGUAGUAUCUGUUACUAUCAGAAGUGUUGCCAAAACCUCUUCUGGUGGGACAGGUAUGAAGCCUGAUCUUCUGGCCAGGGGCCAUAUCUUCAUGAAAGAUCGAGGUGUUGUGCCCCCGUGGUGGCACAUGCACUUUACUGCUU
This 174-nucleotide small nuclear RNA is filed under the name Xenopus laevis (African clawed frog). Its description in RNAcentral is "U2 spliceosomal RNA". It matches the Rfam family "U2 spliceosomal RNA". Rfam says of the family: U2 is a small nuclear RNA (snRNA) component of the spliceosome (involved in pre-mRNA splicing). Complementary binding between U2 snRNA (in an area lying towards the 5' end but 3' to hairpin I) and the branchpoint sequence (BPS) of the intron results the bulging out of an unpaired adenosine, on the BPS, which initiates a nucleophilic attack at the intronic 5' splice site, thus starting the first of two transesterification reactions that mediate splicing. The record is from Rfam by way of RNAcentral. Lineage: Eukaryota; Metazoa; Chordata; Amphibia; Anura; Pipidae.